UUGUCAUCCACAAGCUCCCAGCUGACCUCCUUUUCAGACUAUCCUUAGCAUUACCCGCUUAACUUUCACUCUUUUGCACAGCCAACAGCAGACAUCCUCACUGCAACAUCAGCAUUCAAUCUUAUGCAUUAAGCCUGUCCAUAAUUCACCGACGCAUCAUCAUUCGAAUCCCCCAAGCAGCAAUUGGAACAUUUAAUUAAUUUAAUUAAGUGAAGGAUUAACUGCCGAGAUCGAAAAUUCCCAUAGGGGAGGAAUGUGAAUUGCUGGCAACCAGAGGCGCUCAUCAAUAGGUAACAGUGGCCUACUCCUCGGCAAAAACUUCAACGUGAAGUCAGAGAUAGAGCUGGAGCUGGGAGCUGGGAGCUGGAAGCUAAUCAAGCGGCAUUCAGGCAAUGGCAACGCUUUGCUAUGCAGUCAGCACGCUUUAUAAAAUAGUGAUUGGCGGGUAGGCGGAGAACGGUCAAAGAGGGAGUUUGGGAACCGAUUCAUCCUACUUUUGAUUGCACCCGUAAGUGCCAUAUUGUCGCCGUUUGAUCAAUCAAAGCAGCCGCCGCUAGGAGGCAUUGGCAUUUCAUGGAGAAGCAACAGACAGAUAGAUAUACGGACAGACGGACGAACGGACGGACGGACGUACAGACAGAUCAGGUAAAUGUAACUCAAUCUCCCUGUUACGUAACUUGUUUCCACUCGAUGCUGAACUUGCAGUAGCAAUUAGCUUUCAAUCUCCUCUGCCUGCUUGGGUCGAUCGGUUCUACUCUUUUGCGCAUCGAUGAUGUCUGGGAGCUUCGCUAAUUGACAAUAUUUAUGAACACGUACGCAUUUUAUCGCCCCCAGUCCCGUAAUUGGGAACGAACGCCGUCGUCGCCCACAGAUGCUCCUGAUGCUAGCUGCUCGGCUGCGCGGCUGAUGGGCCAAUUAUUUUCAUCAAAAUUGUUGACAGUCCUCAACACGCCUACAAUGAAGAGAUCUGCGCGAUCUUAGCGUUCUCCAGCUCAAGCUCUUUCGCUCUGUAGAACCACGUUUUGGUUAUACGAAUGCCAAACUGUGCCAUAAAUUUUCACUAGAUGAGAGAUUCUAUGGGGCGUCAUUAGGUUCAUUAGGUGUCAUCACUGUUAGCCGUAUGCCGUUUUCUCAGUUUUGCUUGCUGUAAUUAAAUUUACUUGAAUGGGCACAUAAAAGCAUUAUUAGUGUUCAGACGCUUCAAGUGCGAGACGCUUCUAACGCGUCACAACUUUUAUUCCCGGUACUCAGCAGUACUCUGUAACUAAGAGGUUUUUUCAAAAUAUACAUAUAACAUUUUUUUUACAUAUUGUAUCUUCAACUACAUCAGUGUGAUAUCAGUGUGACAUCACAGUAGUCUAGAGGCAAAAUUCGGUAUCUGUAGCUUUUAUAGUCUCUGAGAACUAUCCGACAAACAAGACGGACAGAUGGACAAACAGACAGACAUAGACUCGGCUACUGAUGCUGAUCAAAACUGAAUAUACUUUAGAUAUCGGAAACGUUUCCUUCUGUGCGUUACAUACAUCCACUUUUGUGCAUAAAUUCAAUAUACC
Molecule: long non-coding RNA, 1553 nt
Filed under: Drosophila guanche
Lineage: Eukaryota; Metazoa; Arthropoda; Insecta; Diptera; Drosophilidae
Source: RNAcentral